AAAAAAGAAAAACCCUAAAUGGCAACAAACCCUGAGAUUUUUCGAAGAAGACAUGGAUCUUAAUUAUGUCAAAUUUUUAAAAAUUACGUAUUAAAUAGGGUAUUGGUAGAAGUCUUCUUCUCUGGACAUCAUUAUAAUAAUGCAUAAUUGCUUGGCAAUAGCAUCAACGAUGGCUUCAUGCAUACAAUUAUUGAUCAACUAUUCGUGAUUAAUUUUUAAUGCAUACAAUUAGAAGACAUUAUUGGAAUUAUAUCUUUGUGUAUAUACAAUAAUUUGAAAUGCAUAUAUCUAUGCAGUUGUCCUUUCCCUGUACGGUCAAGAUGUGGGAAUUAUUUUUAUUGGAUUUGUAAAUUUGAUUUCACUUCAUCUGAUUUGAAGUAAUAUGUAAUCAAUUUUAAUUAUAACAAAAUUUGUAAU
RNAcentral lists this unclassified non-coding RNA (417 nucleotides) under Hevea brasiliensis (rubber tree). Lineage: Eukaryota; Viridiplantae; Streptophyta; Magnoliopsida; Malpighiales; Euphorbiaceae. The record is from RNAcentral.